UCUGUUUGUGUCCACUUGUCCACUUGUCCACUUGCUGAGCAUAUUCCAAACUCCCUCAUGCCUCUUUUGGAGGUGAACUGUGAAAUAAACUAGGUCACUUGGAGUUGAAAACAAAGAAAGGAAAGAAGAAGAAGAAGUUUUCUGCUGGCUUUGAGGUCUUUGAAUGUUAAGCAUCUUUUGCUGUGGAAGGAAAAGUGUGCCUGCUAAAGGGCUUUCUGAUAUCAGGGAGCUGGUUGGGAAGGUUUUUAAGCUCCUGAGUUACCCCUGACAGAGGAGACCCUGGGCUGUGUGGACCUUUGGUCUUCCCUGCAAGCAUCUCAGAUAAUUUUCAGAUUAGCAGCACACAGAAGCAAAACCCGUGUAAAAAGCUGAAGUGAAACGCCCAGCUCUCUACAUGACAUAUGCCUGUACUACACUGUGACUGGCAGGUCAUGUGUUCUAUAUUUGGAUUUCCAUAUCUGGCUAUUGAUAACAGAAGACAGCAAGAAAGAAACAUUUUGUCAACUCCAGUGUAGAGCAGUGAUUCUCAAAUUCUAAUACACCUG
Molecule: long non-coding RNA, 545 nt
Organism: Myotis davidii
Lineage: Eukaryota; Metazoa; Chordata; Mammalia; Chiroptera; Vespertilionidae
Exons: 5
Source: RefSeq, a predicted model, not a curated record